This is a non-coding RNA of Cinara cedri, 297 nucleotides long. The record is from the annotation of a GenBank genome assembly. NCBI's taxonomy places the organism in Eukaryota, Metazoa, Arthropoda, Insecta, Hemiptera, Aphididae.
UGCCCAAAUAAUAUUAUAUUUCCUAAAAUAUUGUGAUUGUUGGUACAAUAGUUUCAAUUUCAUGACUUUAAAGUCCGUAUAUUAAUUACAAUGAAUUUUUGUUUUGUUUUUGUGUACUUAGUGCCGUCGAAAUUUCACGUUAUCUAUAUAGUAGCGGGAGAAAAACCAUUUGAAAAAAAAAUUUGAUUUUCGUCGGUGAUGGCUACUCCGGUAUUUAUAAUCGUUGCCCUCCGUGUGAUAGAAAUUGUUUGAAAAUAAACUCUUCGUUUGUUAGUUCACCAUGUUUUAUGGACAAUA